RNAcentral lists this ribosomal RNA (397 nucleotides) under uncultured bacterium. Its description in RNAcentral is "partial 16S ribosomal RNA". It matches the Rfam family "Bacterial small subunit ribosomal RNA", at positions 523 to 918 of the family's 1533-position model. The record is from RNAcentral.
AUACGUAGGUGACAAGCGUUAUCCGGAUUUACUGGGUGUAAAGGGCGCGUAGGCGGUUUAGCAAGUCAGAAGUGAAAUUCCCGGGCUUAACUUGGGCGCUGCUUCUGAAACUGCUUUACUUGAGUGCUGGAGAGGAUAGUGGAAUUCCUAGUGUAGCGGUAAAAUGCGCAGAUAUUAGGAGGAACACCGGUGGCGAAGGCGGAUAGCGCGACAGUAACUUACGCUGAGGCGCGAAAGCACGGGGAGCAAACAGGAUUAGAUACCCUGGUAGUCCGGGCCGUAAACGAUGAAUACUAGGUGUAGGGGGUAUCGACUCCCUCUGUGCCGCAGUUAACACAUUUAGUAUUCCAGCUGGGGAGUUCGGCCGCAAGGUUGAAACUCAAAGGAAUUGACGGGU